RNAcentral lists this ribosomal RNA (395 nucleotides) under uncultured bacterium. RNAcentral describes it as "bacterial SSU rRNA". It matches the Rfam family "Bacterial small subunit ribosomal RNA", at positions 28 to 417 of the family's 1533-position model. The record is from RNAcentral.
GACGAACGCUGGCGGCGUGCCUAACACAUGCAAGUCGAACGAGAUCCAUGGGAGCUUGCUCCCGGAAGAUCUAGUGGCGAACGGGUGAGUAACACGUGAGAAACCUGCCCUGGAGUGGGGAAUAACUCGGGGAAACUCGAGCUAAUACCGCAUACCCUCGGAUGGUCGCAUGGCCGACCGAGGAAAGAUUUAUCGCUCUAGGAGGGUCUCGCGGCCUAUCAGCUAGUUGGUGGGGUAACGGCCUACCAAGGCAACGACGGGUAGCUGGUUUGAGAGAACGAUCAGCCACACUGGGACUGAGACACGGCCCAGACUCCUACGGGAGGCAGCAGUGGGGAAUCUUGCGCAAUGGGCGAAAGCCUGACGCAGCAACGCCGCGUGCGGGAUGACGGCCU